CCUACGGGCGGCAGCAGUGGGGAAUAUUGGACAAUGGGCGAAAGCCUGAUCCAGCCAUGCCGCGUGUGUGAAGAAGGCCUUCGGGUUGUAAAGCACUUUCAGUGGGGAAGAAAGCCUUGGGGCUAAUACCCUCGAGGAAGGACAUCACCCACAGAAGAAGCACCGGCUAACUCCGUGCCAGCAGCCGCGGUAAUACGGAGGGUGCGAGCGUUAAUCGGAAUUACUGGGCGUAAAGCGCGCGUAGGCGGUCUGAUAAGCCGGUUGUGAAAGCCCCGGGCUCAACCUGGGAACGGCAUCCGGAACUGUCAGGCUAGAGUGCAGGAGAGGAAGGUAGAAUUCCCGGUGUAGCGGUGAAAUGCGUAGAGAUCGGGAGGAAUACCAGUGGCGAAGGCGGCCUUCUGGACUGACACUGACGCUGAGGUGCGAAAGCGUGGGUAGCGAACAGGAUUAGAUACCCUAGUAGUC
RNAcentral lists this ribosomal RNA (465 nucleotides) under Vreelandella stevensii. RNAcentral describes it as "partial 16S ribosomal RNA". It matches the Rfam family "Bacterial small subunit ribosomal RNA", at positions 338 to 795 of the family's 1533-position model. Lineage: Bacteria; Pseudomonadati; Pseudomonadota; Gammaproteobacteria; Oceanospirillales; Halomonadaceae. The record is from RNAcentral.